UACGAAGGGGGCUAGCGUUGUUCGGAAUUACUGGGCGUAAAGCGCACGUAGGCGGUCAUUUAAGUCAGGUGUGAAAUCCCAGAGCUCAACUCUGGAACUGCCUUUGAUACUGGGUGUCUUGAGUAUGGAAGAGGUGAGUGGAAUUCCGAGUGUAGAGGUGAAAUUCGUAGAUAUUCGGAGGAACACCAGUGGCGAAGGCGGCUCACUGGUCCAUUACUGACGCUGAGGUGCGAAAGCGUGGGGAGCAAACAGG
This 253-nucleotide ribosomal RNA is filed under the name uncultured bacterium. Its description in RNAcentral is "partial 16S ribosomal RNA". It matches the Rfam family "Bacterial small subunit ribosomal RNA", at positions 524 to 776 of the family's 1533-position model. The record is from RNAcentral.